CUGAGUUUUGAACCUGGCUCAGGACGAACGCUGGCGGCGCGCUUAACACAUGCAAGUCGAGCGAGGCUCCCAGGCUUGCCUGGGAUGCCCUAGCGGCGAACGGGUGAGUAACACGUGAGGAACCUGCCCCGAAGACCGGGAUAAGCCGGGGAAACCUGGUCUAAUACCGGAUGCCCUCACCGGAUCGCAUGGUUCGGUGAGGAAAUGGAUUCCGCUUCGGGAUGGUCUCGCGGCCUAUCAGCUUGUUGGUGGGGUAACGGCCUACCAAGGCGACGACGGGUAGCUGGUCUGAGAGGAUGUCCAGCCACACUGGGACUGAGACACGGCCCAGACUCCUACGGGAGGCAGCAGUGGGGAAUCUUGCGCAAUGGGCGAAAGCCUGACGCAGCUAUCGCCGCGUGCGGGAUGAAGGCCUUCGGGUUGUAAACCGCUUUCAGCAGGGACUGUAUAGUGACGGUAUCCUGCAGAAGAAGCAAGUGGCACACCUAGAGCAGCGACGGG
RNAcentral lists this ribosomal RNA (501 nucleotides) under uncultured Acidimicrobiales bacterium. RNAcentral's name for it is "bacterial SSU rRNA". It matches the Rfam family "Bacterial small subunit ribosomal RNA", at positions 1 to 521 of the family's 1533-position model. The record is from RNAcentral. Lineage: Bacteria; Bacillati; Actinomycetota; Acidimicrobiia; Acidimicrobiales.